GACGAACGCUGGCGGCGUGCCUAAUACAUGCAAGUAGAACGCACAGUUUAUACCGUAGCUUGCUACACCAUAAACUGUGAGUUGCGAACGGGUGAGUAACGCGUAGGUAACCUGCCUGGUAGCGGGGGAUAACUAUUGGAAACGAUAGCUAAUACCGCAUAAUAUUGAUUAUUGCAUGAUAAUUGAUUGAAAGAUGCUAUUGCAUCACUACCAGAUGGACCUGCGUUGUAUUAGCUAGUAGGUGAGGUAACGGCUCACCUAGGCGACGAUACAUAGCCGACCUGAGAGGAUGAUCGGCCACACUGGGACUGAGACACGGCCCAGACUCCUACGGGAGGCAGCAGUAGGGAAUCUUCGGCAAUGGACGAAAGUCUGACCGAGCAACGCCGCGUGAGUGAAGAAGGUUUUCGGAUCGUAAAGCUCUGUUGUAAGAGAAGAACGGGUGUGAGAGUGGAAAGUUCACACUGUGACGGUAUCUUACCAGAAAGGGACGGCUAACUACGUG
Molecule: ribosomal RNA, 505 nt
Filed under: uncultured bacterium
Lineage: Bacteria
Description: partial 16S ribosomal RNA
Rfam family: Bacterial small subunit ribosomal RNA
Source: RNAcentral